AGGAGCUUGCUUCUCUGGAUGAGUUGCGAACGGGUGAGUAACGCGUAGGUAACCUGCCUGGUAGCGGGGGAUAACUAUUGGAAACGAUAGCUAAUACCGCAUAAGAGUAGAUGUUGCAUGACAUUUACUUAAAAGGUGCAAUUGCAUCACUACCAGAUGGACCUGCGUUGUAUUAGCUAGUUGGUGGGGUAACGGCUCACCAAGGCGACGAUACAUAGCCGACCUGAGAGGGUGAUCGGCCACACUGGGACUGAGACACGGCCCAGACUCCUACGGGAGGCAGCAGUAGGGAAUCUUCGGCAAUGGACGGAAGUCUGACCGAGCAACGCCGCGUGAGUGAAGAAGGUUUUCGGAUCGUAAAGCUCUGUUGUAAGAGAAGAACGAGUGUGAGAGUGGAAAGUUCACACUGUGACGGUAUCUUACCAGAAAGGGACGGCUAACUACGUGCCAGCAGCCGCGGUAAUACGUAGGUCCCGAGCGUUGUCCGGAUUUAUUGGGCGUAAAGCGAGCGCAGGCGGUUAGAUAAGUCUGAAGUUAAAGGCUGUGGCUUAACCAUAGUACGCUUUGGAAACUGUUUAACUUGAGUGCAAGAGGGGAGAGUGGAAUUCCAUGUGUAGCGGUGAAAUGCGUAGAUAUAUGGGGGAACACCGGUGGCG
Molecule: ribosomal RNA, 656 nt
Filed under: uncultured Bacilli bacterium
Lineage: Bacteria; Bacillati; Bacillota; Bacilli
Description: bacterial SSU rRNA
Rfam family: Bacterial small subunit ribosomal RNA
Source: RNAcentral